Molecule: ribosomal RNA, 236 nt
Filed under: uncultured Actinomycetales bacterium
Lineage: Bacteria; Bacillati; Actinomycetota; Actinomycetes; Actinomycetales
Description: partial 16S ribosomal RNA
Rfam family: Bacterial small subunit ribosomal RNA
Source: RNAcentral
UGGCGAACGGGUGAGUAACACGUGAGUAACCUGCCCACAACUUUGGGAUAACGCUAGGAAACUGGUGCUAAUACUGGAUAUGUGCUCCUGCUGCAUGGUGGGGUUGGAAAGCUCCGGCGGUUGUGGAUGGACUCGCGGCCUAUCAGCUUGUUGGUGGGGUAGUGGCCUACCAAGGCGGCGACGGGUAGCCGGCCUGAGAGGGUGACCGGCCACAUUGGGACUGAGAUACGGCCCAG